Molecule: non-coding RNA, 4309 nt
Organism: Arachis ipaensis
Lineage: Eukaryota; Viridiplantae; Streptophyta; Magnoliopsida; Fabales; Fabaceae
Source: RefSeq, a predicted model, not a curated record
GUUACAUUCACCCCUCAUAUUCUCCUCCUGGUCUCUCUAUCUCGCUCGAUAUCCCUAAAUCCCAUCUUCUCCUUCGUUCUCCUCGGUAACCCACACCAUCGUUGUCGUCUUUAUCCUCUUUGGCCAUUAAGGAACUUUUUAUCGGUCUUACGCAGUCGCAAACCCGCAUUUUCUCAACCCCCAUGUGCGAACACUAACCCACCGAGCUAAGCUGAUUCUCAAACCCGCAUUUCCUCAAGCCCCAUGUGCAAACCCUAACCCACCGAGCUCAGCGGGUUUUUUCGUCUAAGAGAACAAUCAUGGGGAUGGCUCCGGUUUGUUUCAGCUGCUGAGAUGAGGGCGAUGAUGAGUGACUACAAUCUCUGUUGCAGGCCUCAGGCGCGUACGAACGUCAACAACCUUGGUGAGAGAUGCACGGCCGAGAUCUCAGCAAGCGCUCGCUCUCCUCGUGCAGUGAUUCUCGCGAUCUGUUACUUUGUUUGGUACUGGAUCUUUAAUCUAUUUGAUUUAGGGUUUCUUUUGUGUUUUGGGAUCUUUGAUUUGAUGUUUGGUGUGUGAGAAAAGAGAAUGGAUUCCUUGAUCUGUGGCUGUGGUUGUCUCUGUCGCUGUUUCUCCCAAAUCCUAUGGAUUCAACUCCGAUCUUCACAAUAUGGUUCCUAUAUUGUUUGCACUCGUCGUUUCUUCUUCAUUUUUGUUGUUUCAUUUAAUUUGACGUCUAGGAAACUAACCUAAUUUCAUUGGUAGCAGCUCAUGUUGUCAAAGUCGGAAAUUGGAAAGGCGAGUCGAACAUAGCCUAUCCCGGGUAAAGUGCUUAUUUUGUAUUCGUGCUUCCUCAGUUCCCAGAAUGGGCAAAAUCAUAGAGAAGGUUCUCAUUUCCGUGGCUUUCUCGGAGCUCAAAGUUUCUUUUUGGGCAUCUUCUAAUUGUAUAAAGCACAUGGAGUAAACGUAUGAUGGACAUUGUCGAGUCCCUAGACCUUCCACCCCAUUUUUCUCCUUCCAGUUCAUGUUUCUCUUCGAGUCCGGCUAUUGCGGCGAUGCUGUGCUGCGAGCUCUCUCUCUCUCGGGGACAUUGUCGAUCUUGAUGGACGGAUGCUGUAAACGUCUGAUGUGACACAGACAACAUCUAAGAAGAUGAAGCAAGGGUUUCUUAGAUUACUCAGAACGCUAGGAGAUUCCGUGGAAUCGGGAGCUGGUCGAGUUCAAUCGCGGUGGCUCAGGACAGAAGUCCUAAUGUCGAAGGUUACAGAGUUCCAUCCCCGUUUUCUGUCGGGCACUACCCCUCAGAUGUAUAAGAGAUCAAUUGCACACCCUGGUGGAUUCUGAUCUGAGGCUGCAUCGCAGUUCUACUGGAAACAGAAAUGGGGCCAGAAAGUCUGCAGAAGGUUAAGUUAUUUUUUCUUGAGAUGUUGGUAAAUUUUAAAAGUUUACUUUCUGGGUAACUCUUAUGAUGUUGGAGAUGAGUGUCGGUAUCUGCUUUUUGAUUGUUGAUCAUAGAGUUUGGUAAGAGUCUUGAUUUUAACUGUUUGUGUGAUCUCUUAGUUCAUGUGUAUCAUUAUCAUAACCUGAGAAAAAAGAAAUUGAUGCCAUGAUAGAUCUGUGUCAUUACCUUCUGUAUAAUUGACUUUAGCUUUGCUUUGCUUAAGUAUUUUUUCUAAAAAAUAAAAAUAUAUUGCUGGUUGGGUUAAAAAAAUGAAGAUUAAUGUUUUUGAAUUCUGAACUGAUUUGAUGAGAAAUUUUGGAUUAAAUUUACUGUUUUGUUGUCUAUGACGUGUUAAACGUGUAAUUUCAGGUUCUAAAUCUAUAUGAAUUUAGUGUGUUAUUAUCCAUUUGUUUUAUAGGUGGCUUUUCUUUGUGUUCUAAAUCUAUAUGAAUUUAGUGUUACUUUAGUUGCAAUCAUUUUUAAUAUAUGAUUAUGUUCUAGGUACACUUUCUUGCAACAUCCAAAUUGAGAGUGACAUUACUAUCAUAUUUUUCAAUGUGUUUUCAUCAUAUUUUAAAUUCUUGAUUUUAAUUUUCGCAUUACUUCUCUACAACUUAUAUUUUCAAUAAAUUAUUGACCGAGAGUUCGUGGGUGCCCGGACAGGGAGGUUUACCUCUCGGAGUCCAAGAUCUGGCAGUUCUUCUUGGUUACCAGAGACGUUUUAUUGCAACAGCGAAAUUGAUUGGACCUCCAACUUCCCAUUUAGAUUCCAGCUUGUGUUGCUUCUUGGCCAAUGAACACAUUCCAGAAAAAAAGACUAAUUGCUCUCUGAUUUCAAGGACUAUGAAUUACAUAUGGUGUUGAUUGGAUAAAAGUGGAGUUUGAGGAUAAUCAAGUUUAUUUGGAUCUCUCUGAGAUGCUUGAAUCAGCUUUGAAGCUACAACCUGAACAUUGAUAUGAUUCCAUUGUGAAAUUAUAAAUGAAGGGUGAAAAAGAGAAGAAAGAAAUAAUGCCCAAAUUUCUCAAAAUUUUGGGUGGGACUUAUGCUCUUGACAUGUUGGGACUUAUGCUCUUGAUCUGUACAAAUUAAUUUGCUUCUAUUAAUUGGCAACGUCAUCAUGUUGUGUGCAAAAGAAACAGGUCUAUUGAUGUGAAGGAAAUUGAGGUUUGUAAUUUUAAAGGGUGUGUGGUGAGUGGAGAUGGAAGUGUUCCAAAGUUAAAUACUUCUCAUGAGGAUUGGGUUAACAUGGUGAAUGAACUUCAAAUGGGUGCUUUAUUCACUAGGCUGGGAAUUCCAUUAAUUCAUGGAAUUGAUGUUCAUGGCCAUAACACCAGAUAGCCUGGUGAAGAAGCUCUAUGAGGAAGUUAAGGGUGGAACUUUUGUUGUGCUUGAGAUAGUUGAGGAUGGUCCUUGGUGGUACUCUGUUUGUGUGUGUGGUAGAGGUGUUCAGGCAGAAUCUGAAGUUUAUUUCUGUCAAUUCUGCAACAUUCAUGUUACCAAUGUCACACCCAGGUUUAUUUAAUCAGAAUAUUUUCUUUGUUGUUUAUUCGCCUUUGGUUCUUUUUUUAUUAUAUAGUUGUGAGUUGUUAUCAUUUUUUUAUUUUUUCUGCACUAUGAAAAAAUAAAUUACAGGUUUAGAAUGAAGGUGUUGGUUGAGGAUUCCACUGGUAUGUCAAUUUUCGUACUAUUUGAUCAUGAGGCAAGCUAUCUGCUGAAAAAGACUUGUGCUUAGUUGUUUGAACAACAUCUCAAGGAUGUGGAUGUUGUGUUUGGUACACAAUCUCCUAUCUUUCAAGAGAGAGUUGAAAAAGAUGAUGCUCUUCAAAAUUUUUAGUAGGCCUAUUGGAAUGGAUAAGUUCAAAGGUACUUACCCUGUGAGGCGUGUUUGUGAGGAUGCUGCCAUAGUUGGAAUAUUUGAGUUUUUCGGAUCAGAUUUGAGCCCUGAUAAGGUAUACAAUCGAAUUAUAUCCUGUUGUGCAUUUUUACUGAGUUGGUUAUCAGUUUGGCCCUCUUUUGGUUUGUUGAUUAUUGAUAAUGUGCUGAGAUAUAUUGAAUGUAUUUUUUGUGUUGUGCAAGACUGACUUUCUUCCAAGAGGUGAAGGAUCCUUUAAGGGUCCUUCAAAAGUUACCAAAAUAUCCAAUGAUGUGUUGACUCCUUCUAACUGUUCUUAGCUCAUUGCUAUUUCACCUCAAUAUACUCAGAAUCAAGUAAAUGUUGUUGACUUAGUAGCCGAUGAAGAUAUGAAGAUUUCUAUUAUAUAUUUCCCCCCUAAAUCCCCUCCCCCUUUUAAGUUACUGCAAAAUAUUAUUUUGUUUGUGCUAUAAUAGUGUCCUUCUCUUAAAAGAAAGUAUGCUAAUGUUAAAAGAAAGUCUGCUAAUACUAUGAGAGAGAUGUCAAAUGAAGGUGAUCACUCAGAAAAUGCAUGAGAUGAAAUUGUUGAAAGUGAAAGGGAGUAUGUUAUUGGGCUUAGAAAAGGCUGUGCUGAGGAUGAACAAAAGAAAAAGGCUCCCGUGAAGAAGUUGAGAAGUCCUUGAAGAUUGAAUUUGAUGAAUUCAGAUGAGGCUGAUACUAUGAUACUGCAUCUGGACAAGGGGCUAAGUGACAUGGGUCUUCAUGUUAUUUACCUAGAGCUAGUGGUUAGGAUUUAUAUAGGGCUAUAGAUAUGGAUUUUACACACCCUUUUUGUGAACAAUAUAAAAUUUUUUGGUGUGUUCAUGUAAUAGGAAUUGAUAUUUUAAGUUUGGGUUGUACGUUUUUAUUUGUCUUAUUGCUGAUGCAAUGCAUCAAUUGCUAGGAUGUGGGUAUUAAAUCAUUAGCCUGUAGGCAAAGUUAAGAAUGUAGCUCGUUUUUGUGAAAUUCGAUAAAAUGCAGUAGCCUCAUCACUCUA